Molecule: ribosomal RNA, 468 nt
Filed under: uncultured bacterium
Lineage: Bacteria
Description: partial 16S ribosomal RNA
Rfam family: Bacterial small subunit ribosomal RNA
Source: RNAcentral
GACGAACGCUGGCGGCGUGCUUAACACAUGCAAGUCGAACGGAAAGGCCCUGCUUUUGUGCGGUGCUCGAGUGGCGAACGGGUGAGUAACACGUGAGUAACCUGCCCCUGACUUUGGGAUAACUUCAGGAAACUGGGGCUAAUACCGGAUAGGCGCUCCUGCUGCAUGGGGGGGGUUGGAAAGUUUCGGCGGUUGGGGAUGGGCUCGCGGCUUAUCAGCUUGUUGGUGGGGUAGUGGCUUACCAAGGCUUUGACGGGUAGCCGGCCUGAGAGGGUGACCGGCCACAUUGGGACUGAGAUACGGCCCAGACUCCUACGGGAGGCAGCAGUGGGGAAUAUUGCACAAUGGGCGGAAGCCUGAUGCAGCAACGCCGCGUGCGGGAUGACGGCCUUCGGGUUGUAAACCGCUUUCGCCUGGGACGAAGCGUGAGUGACGGUAAUGGGUGAAGAAGCACCGGCUAACUACGUG